Non-coding RNA from Neurospora crassa OR74A, 1131 nucleotides. The record is from RefSeq and is a predicted model, not a curated record. NCBI's taxonomy places the organism in Eukaryota, Fungi, Ascomycota, Sordariomycetes, Sordariales, Sordariaceae.
GGUCGACGACUACUGACACGCGACUCCACUAUGUUGCCCAGUCCACUCAUGGUGUCAAUAGUCCACAGUCUCCGUCCGGCUACUUCUCCCUCGAAUGAUGGCAGGGAUGGGUCGUUCUUACGAAAAGAUCAUCCACGACGUCCGACUCUAGACGCUCUUGGUCCCUGAACGGGCCCUGAACAUCAACCGGGUCUCAACAAUCUGGAGGAAGGCAAGCAGAUCUGGCCAGACACCGACGGAUAAAGAAACCCGCACCUCAGACGACAAGUUAACGAUAUGCUCCAAUCCGUGGCCACCCAAGAUCAAUCAAAUCCAUCUUACCAGACCACAUUCGUCACUCGUUUCAGACGGUUUGAGCGAAUGGCAGGCAGGCAGUUCCAUCCGCGACCCCAUCCGUCCAUUGAUCGAUCUAUCCAUUCGUCCAUGCGUCCAUGCGUCUAUUCUCGGCGGCCAGCAUCAUGGUCAGGAAAUCCAUGAUCCAAGAAUUUCGCCGCAUGAACACAUGUUCGGACACUUUGCCUCUUUGCGUCUCGUCUCACAACCCGCCGCCUGUCCAGACCGGCGAGUGAGUGAGUGAGUAAGUGAAUGAGUGAGUGAGUGCACGACUCGUCGUCGACCAAAACUGACAGACACACAACCGGUCUCCACCAAAGUAUCCGGUUCGCGGUCGAAUAGGCUUGUCGACGUGUAUCGAUCUCAUUGCCGGGCGGGUGGUGGGUUUCACAUUGUUCGAAAUGCUACCUACCUACCUACCUAGGCAGACUGUCAGGUACGGACCAGUUGCCUGUCGGGGAGAGAUCAGUGAGCGAGUGGUCUAUGGUCUGCCACCGACCACCGACUGAGUCAAAUCUGUCGGAUUCAUUAUGCUCGUCUAAUCUUGAUAGGCAGGAUGUCCGGUGAUGGUGGGUUUUCUUUCAAUCAGCGUUGAGGAAAUGCAGUGCUGCCGGUGCUGGAUAAUUGUGGGUAGAGUGGUAUGUAGGUAGGUAUGUAGUCUAUGGGCCGGCCCUCUCUACCCCGAUCGAUGCCUUUGAUAUUACAAUUUCUCAAGUAUCCAGCCCGGACCCGAACCAUCAAUCGGAGCAAGUGGAAAGUAGUGUACUGCAAAGUGGUUAUCUCCCGAUUGGAUCACUC